CGAGGUUGUCGCUGGCCUCUCGGGGCAUGUGCACGCCCGAGCCAUCCCCAACAAACGCCGUGGGCCUUCGGGCCCGCGUAUAUUUACUCUGAAUGUGUAUAGAAUGUAAACCAUUUGUUUGCCCUGAAAAAGCAAACGAAAAAUAGUACAACUUUCAACAACGGAUCUCUUGGCUCUCGCAUCGAUGAAGAACGCAGCGAAAUGCGAUAAGUAAUGUGAAUUGCAGAUUUUCAGUGAAUCAUCGAAUCUUUGAACGCACCUUGCGCCCCUUGGUAUUCCGAGGGGCAUGCCUGUUUGAGUGUCAUUAAAUCCUCAACCGCGCCGAUUGAUUUUCGGUGGGGCUUGGACUUUGGAGCGUGCUGGCGAAGGUCGGCUCCUCUUUAAAUGCAUCAGCGGAAGAAACCUUUGUCUUUCCCGCCUUCGGUGUGAUAAUUGUGUUGCGCCG
Molecule: ribosomal RNA, 445 nt
Filed under: uncultured Tylospora
Lineage: Eukaryota; Fungi; Basidiomycota; Agaricomycetes; Atheliales; Atheliaceae
Description: eukaryotic LSU rRNA
Rfam family: 5.8S ribosomal RNA (bases 150-304)
Source: RNAcentral